AGAGUUUGAUUCUGGCUCAGAGUGAACGCUGGCGGCGUGCCUAAGACAUGCAAGUCGUACGAGAAAGCACCUUCGGGUGUAAGUAAAGUGGCGCACGGGUGAGUAACACUUGGGUAACCUACCCAUCAGAGGGGGAUAACUGAGGGAAACUUCAGCUAAUACCGCGUACGUCGGAGAGAACUGCGGUUCUUUUCGAGAAAGCCGUAAGGCGCUGAUGGACGGGCCCGAGGCCUAUUAGCUUGUUGGUGGGGUAACGGCCUACCAAGGCGACGAUAGGUAGCUGGUUUGAGAGAAUGAUCAGCCACACUGGUACUGGAACACGGACCAGACUCCUACGGGAGGCAGCAGUUAGGAAUUUUGCGCAAUGGGGGAAACCCUGACGCAGCAACGCCGCGUGAGUGAGGAAGGCCUUCGGGUUGUAAAGCUCUUUCAGUAAGGAAGAAACAAAUGACGGUACUUACAGAAGAAGCACCGGCUAACUCCGUGCCAGCAGCCGCGGUAAUACGGAGGGUGCGAGCGUUACUCGGAUUUACUGGGCGUAAAGAGCACGUAGGUGGUUUGGUAAGUUUGAUGUGAAAGCCCUGGACUCAAUCCAGGAUGUGCAUUGAAUACUGCCAGACUCGAGUACAGGAGAGGUGAGCGGAAUUCCAGGUGUAGAGGUGAAAUUCGUAGAUAUCUGGAGGAACAACGGAGGCGAAGGCGGCUCACUGGACUGUUACUGACACUGAGGUGCGAAAGCGUGGGGAGCGAACGGGAUUAGAUACCCCGGUAGUCCACGCCGUAAACGAUGGAUACUAGGUGUCGGGGGCUACUUACCCCCUCGGUGCCGUAGCUAACGCGUUAAGUAUCCCGCCUGGGGACUACGGCCGCAAGGUUAAAACUCAAAGAAAUUGACGGGGGCCCGCACAAGCGGUGGAGGAUGUGGUUUAAUUCGAUUCAACGCGAAAAACCUUACCUGGACUUGACAUCCCUCGCUAUCCUGGGAAACCAGGAGUUCCCUUCGGGGACGAGGUGACAGGUGUUGCAUGGCUGUCGUCAGCUCGUGUCGUGAGAUGUUGGGUUAAGUCCCGCAACGAGCGCAACCCUUGCCAUUAGUUGCUACCAUUUAGUUGGGCACUCUAGUGGGACCGCUCGCCGAUAAGGCAGAGGAAGGAGGGGAUGACGUCAAGUCAGCAUGGCCCUUACGUCCAGGGCUACACACGUCCUACAAUGGCCAGCACAGAGCGUAGCAAAACCGCAAGGUGGAGCCAAUCGCAGAAAACUGGUCUCAGUUCGGAUUGGGGUCUGCAACUCGACCCCAUGAAGUUGGAAUCGCUAGUAAUCGCGGAUCAGCAUGCCGCGGUGAAUACGUUCCCGGGCCUU
Molecule: ribosomal RNA, 1362 nt
Filed under: metagenome
Description: bacterial SSU rRNA
Rfam family: Bacterial small subunit ribosomal RNA
Source: RNAcentral